RNAcentral lists this ribosomal RNA (356 nucleotides) under uncultured bacterium. Its description in RNAcentral is "bacterial SSU rRNA". It matches the Rfam family "Bacterial small subunit ribosomal RNA", at positions 527 to 881 of the family's 1533-position model. The record is from RNAcentral.
GAAGGGUGCAAGCGUUACUCGGAAUNACUGGGCGUAAAGCGUGCGUAGGUGGUNGUUUAAGNCUGUCGUGAAAGCCCUGGGCUCAACCUGGGAAUNGCGAUGGAAACUGGGCGACUAGAGUGUGGCAGAGGGUAGUGGAAUUCCUGGUGUAGCAGUGAAAUGCGUAGAGAUCAGGAGGAACAUCCGUGGCGAAGGCGACUGCCUGGGCCAACACUGACACUGAGGCACGAAAGCGUGGGGAGCAAACAGGAUUAGAUACCCUGGUAGUCCACGCCCUAAACGAUGCGAACUGGAUGUUGGGUGCAAUUUGGCACGCAGUAUCGAAGCUAACGCGUUAAGUUCGCCGCCUGGGGAGU